Molecule: ribosomal RNA, 428 nt
Filed under: Bacteroidota bacterium
Lineage: Bacteria; Pseudomonadati; Bacteroidota
Description: Bacteroidetes bacterium partial 16S ribosomal RNA
Rfam family: Bacterial small subunit ribosomal RNA
Source: RNAcentral
UAGGGAAUCUUCCGCAAUGGACGCAAGUCUGACGGAGCAACGCCGCGUGAGUGAAGAAGGAUUUCGGUUCGUAAAACUCUGUUGUUAGAGAAGAACAGCGCAUAGAGUAACUGUUAUGCGUGUGACGGUAUCUAACCAGAAAGCCACGGCUAACUACGUGCCAGCAGCCGCGGUAAUACGUAGGUGGCAAGCGUUGUCCGGAAUCACUGGGCGUAAAGGGUUCGCAGGCGGAAAUGCAAGUCAGGUGUAAAAGGCAGUAGCUUAACUACUGUAAGCAUUUGAAACUGCAUAUCUUGAGAAGAGUAGAGGUAAGUGGAAUUCCAUGUGUAGCGGUGAAAUGCGUAGAUAUAUGGAGGAACACCAGUGGCGAAGGCGACUCUCUGGUCUGUAACUGACGCUGAGGCUCGAAAGCGUGGGUAGCAAACAGG